This 459-nucleotide ribosomal RNA is filed under the name uncultured bacterium. RNAcentral's name for it is "partial 16S ribosomal RNA". It matches the Rfam family "Bacterial small subunit ribosomal RNA", at positions 339 to 795 of the family's 1533-position model. The record is from RNAcentral.
ACACGGGUGGCUGCAGUGGGGAAUAUUGCGCAAUGGGCGAAAGCCUGAACCAGCCAAGUAGCGUGAAGGAUGACUGCCCUAUGGGUUGUAAACUUCUUUUAUAAAGGAAUAAAACGAGGCACGUGUGCCUUUUUGCAUGUACUUUAUGAAUAAGGAUCGGCUAACUCCGUGCCAGCAGCCGCGGUAAUACGGAGGAUCCGAGCGUUAUCCGGAUUUAUUGGGUGUAAAGGGAGCGUAGAUGGGUUGUUAAGUCAGUUGUGAAAGUUUGCGGCUCAACCGUAAAAUUGCAAUUGAUACUGGCAGUCUUGAGUACAGUUGAGGUAGGCGGAAUUCGUGGUGUAGCGGUGAAAUGCUUAGAUAUCACGAAGAACCCCGAUUGCGAAGGCAGCUUACUAAACUGUGACUGACAUUGAUGCUCGAAAGUGUGGGUAUCAAACAGGAUUAGAUACCCUUGUAGUC